CAGUAACACUGUAACUGUAUGUGUAUCUGUUUGCUGUAUGGGUCAUAUUUCACUAUAAUAAAGGUGUUGCAUCAGAGUGCGGCUGUCCAACCUUCUUUACUUCUACAGUCUUUAUUGCAAAUUGAAAGUCAGGUGCUACCUCACCUAGGAUAGCCUAAAAAGGCUCCUGCUGCUGCUACUACUACUACAAGUGAUAUCAAGUUGAAAUGGCAAUCAGUGAAAACUAACCCCGGCUAUAGUCUCCAUGUAUUCAAAAUCAAUCUCUCAAGAGGUCGGGCUCCAGCCUGCCCAGGCAUGUCUAUGCCAACUACGUCGCUCUCCCUGUUUAAAAUUGUUUCCAAAAUUUCCAAAGAGUCAUGGUCAACCUCCUCUAAUAACCCUUUGUGGUUCAACCCCAACUUUUUUUUUUUUUUAUUGAGUAAAAAAGGUGCAUACCAAGUCAGCAUGACAUUCACAUAUAUACAGGUCACUAAGGAAAAUAUCCAUGAAUCAGGUGGUGCAUUCAAAACUGUCACAGUUUUUGAGCAUGUAAACAGGAUAUCUAACCCAAAAAGUAAACAAUCCAAUCAGUUUCGGCCUUAGUGACUCAAGAUAGGGCUAUAAUUUACUGCUGGUCUCUGUGGCCUUCAACCAGCAGUCCCAAAUGUUAUCGUAUUUGGCUGGGCAGCCUCUAUUUGAGUAUACACAUUUUUUGUAGGGUAAGAUUACAUUUACCUCCACUCCGAGAAACUGGGGUGGUGAAGACCUCAUCCACUUCCUGGCAAUAAUCUCUCGGGCUGAAAAUAGGGUUUAAUGCAAAAAUAUCUUGGUAUAUUUGUCUGACACCAGGGAAUAUCCUGAGUAUACAUUGUUUUGGAUCAAGUGCUAUGGGUGAGCCCAUGACAUCAUGAAGAAAAGUCAAUUUGCCUCCAAAGGUCCUGAAUUUUCAAACAAGCCCAGAGGAGAUGAAAGAUGAGGUGCUGUGGGGUUGCUGUGGGGUUGCCCACAGCAACCCAAGGUGUAUAUUGCAUACAUAACUUAUUCUCACGGGGAAUGACCUGAAUUCCUUCAUAUUCAGGACUCAUCCUGAAUAUGAAGGAAUUCAGGUAAAUCUCUGUUGUACUAUAGUGGCGUGUAAUCUGUGGUAUGCCCAAUCUGGCAGAGGCAAGGUCCCAAAUGCGUCUGUAAUGAAACAAAGACUUUGUAUCUCCACCCGACUCAGUAUUCUUGAAGCCCGCUGAGACUGCAUAGAGCGGAUCUCCAGUGCAUCUAGCCCCUUGUGGGCAGAGCAGGAGUCAGAAACGUGUGCUGUCUGUUUUGUCGAUGUGAAAUAAUCGGGAUAGCUGGGAUGCGAUGUAGUAGAGAUUAAAAUCUGGUAAUGCUGUACCUCCCAUAUCAGUCGGAUUUUUGAGUGCUUGCUAGGUGAGUUUAUGCCUACUGGUACCCCAGACAAAGGGCUUGAAGAGUACUUCUAGGGACUUAAAGUACUUUAUGGGUAGGUAUAUCGGGGUGUGCCAUAAGAUGUACAAUAUCUUGGGCAGGAGGACCAUUUUUACCAGGUUUAUACGGCCCCACACCCCAAGGGGGAGACGAGCCCAAACACGUAUCUUGACUCUAACCAAAGAAAACAAUGGUUCUAUAUUGAGAGCAAUAUAGUCAGCCGGCUCCUAGAAAUGUGUAUUCCUAAGUACCGAAUGGUAUCCGCUCUUUGAAGCGGCAGGUUCUUCUGGGACUCGGGCGGUAGGAAGCUAUCAAUCGGGACAAUUUGUGACUUUCCCCAAUUGAUCUCGAGUCCGGAGAAUUUACCAAAUUUCUCAAUCGUCUGAAGUGCAGCUUGAAGGAAAGGGCCCGAAUCAGCGAGGUAUAACAGUGUAUCGUCCACAUACAUGCAAAUUUUUUCUGUUAAGGGUCCCAUCUGCAAUCCCCCAUCUCCGAGUUUGUGCGAAUAGACCUAGCCAAGGGCUCCGCAGCCAUAGCAUAUAGAAGUGGGGAAAGUGGACAGCCUUGUCUCGUACCUCUACUGAGAUCAAACACCGGAGACUACCACCCAUUCGCCACCACUUUGGCCGUUGGAGCCUGGUAGAGGAGUCUGAACCACUUAUUGAAUCUAGGGCCAAAGCCAUAACGCUCCAGGCACCUCUAUAAAUGGCUCCACUUCAUGGAGUCAAUUGCCUUGGCCAUGUCCAGUGUCACAACUGCCCAUGUUCCUACAUUUUCGUGUGUGCCUUGUAAGUUGAUCUAUAAUUUGCACAAAUUAAAAGAGGUGUUACGACCAGGCAUGAAGCCUGCUUGAUCUGUGUGUAUGAGUGAGAGUAUGACUUGAUUGAGUCGGUUAGCUAGGACUUUGGCCAAUAUUUUAAUAUCCACCUGGAGGAGAGAGAUGGGGCGAUAUGAUUCUGGAUACCCUGGGUCUUUUGCUGGUUUGGGGAUAAGGACUAUGGUCACCUCCCUCAUAGAUGGGGGAAGUGUAAAUGUUUCAAGAAGGUGAUUGUAUAAAGCUAAAAGUUUGGGUACCAGGACCAUACUGUUAGUAAAAUUCAAUUGCAUGGCCGUCCGAGCCUGGGGACUUGGAUCUGGCAAACCUCGCAUAAGCCUCCUCUAUUUUCUCUGUCGUGAGGGGAGCCUCCAGAAGUUUGACUUGUUAGUUGAAUGAGGAAACACCUCCAGAAAAAAGUCCAUUGGGCCCACAUCUGUAGGGGUUGUAGACGUGUACAAUUCAGCAAAAAAGUCCUGAAACAUAGAGGACACUUUAAGCGGGUCUGUUAUUUGGAGGCCGUAGGGAAAUUACUACUGGGGGUCUGUCCUCGCUAUGGACCAAGUAAGCCAAAAGUUUGCCAGCCUUUCCCCCAUGCUCAAACAUCUUCUGUUUAGCAAAAAAAAAAAAAUCUGUCUAUCCUUUUUAUAUUGAAGUUUGGUAACCACUCUAGUUUGUAAUUUUAGGGCGUCUGCUUUUACUGGGGUGGGAUCAGCCGUAAAUCCCUGUUCUGUGAUGGACAACUCUGCCACCGCCCUGUCCAGGGCGUUUGCUGAGUCCGCCUUAAUCCGGAUGAUGCAUGAAGUUAAGUGCAUGCGGGCAUUUAGUUUGAAAGACUCCCAGACCGUCGCCACAGGGGCAGAUCGGUCAUUCUCCCAAAAAUAUUUGCCACUCAGUGAGGAGUUCAUCGUCCUCUGACAACAGGAAGAGCCAGAAUGGGUUCAACCACCAUGCUCGCAGUGGUUUGUCCACAGGUACACCUAUGGUGAUCCAAUACAGGCUAUGAUCCGAUGGUAGCCUAGGGGAGAAAGCAGCCUCCCCCAACCAAGGCAGAAGACUCCGUGAAAGAAGGAUAAGUUAAAUUCUAGACAUGGAGUUAUGGGUAGAGGGAAAAACAGGAAUAUGAUUUUGUACUGGGGUAUUUAUGCCGCCAGGUGGAAAGAAACAAUCGGGAAAAUUUUGUACUGUGGUAUUAAUGCCGCCAGGUGUCUGCCAGGUGGAAAGAAACAAUCGGGAAAAUGUUGUGUCCCCAGCUGUCCCUGUAGAGGGAUCUGUGAGUCGGAGCCUGUCUAGGGAAGGAUUCAGUGUGGUGUUGAAAUCCCCCAGCCGAACCGCUUGGACAGAGGGAUGUCGCGCCAUAAAUGCAAUUCCCUCUAGGAUUAUGGACAUGGAGAAUGGGGGAGGGACAUAGAAGGCCAAGAGAAGGAAGGGCUCCCCGUACAAGUUGGUAGAUGGGAAAACCUAGCGGCCCUGUGGGUCCAUGGAAGCCUCACAUAGUUCAAAGUGAACAGGUUUGGUCAUAAGUAUGGAGACUCCGCGUGCAUGGGUCGUGUGGGUCGAAUGAAAUGCCCACCUCACUCAUGGACGGUGGAGGGCUAUCUGCAAUCUCCCCUCUACAUGAGUUUCACCCAGUACCAUUACAUCGGCACGUUGCUUCUUUUUUUCUUUCAAUACAUUUUUAUUGGUAUAUAUUAAUACACAAACAAUAAACAAAAGUAACCAUCUGUUUUGUUCAUAAAACAUGCAAUUAAUGAGCAUACAUUGGAUUAGAUAAAUUCAGCAGGUAGUCUAAAAUGGAACACCAGUCGAGUAAAUAAGUAAUAAAUUAAUUAAAAGGAAUGUACCUAACUGAACAUGGAAAAAACAUUACUCGUUGUUUGACACAAUUUUAAAACAUCAAGAUGAAUGCAUUAGGAAGCUUAUGAUAUAAACACAGAAAAGAGCAACAGGGUAACCUCAAAUGUUAGUAUUAGUAAUAAGCGACACGAUGGGUCUCAGAAAACUCAAUGUGGAAUAAAAGCAACCUCCCUUCAUGGGAAAACACUAGCCACAAUGUCUAUGUGUUAUUUUCGUACCAAUUUGUCCAGGGGGUCCAUGAGUUUACGUGUUUAGGUAAGGUAAAUAGUGACACAGCCAUCACUCUCUCAUAUGUGCAAUGAACAUUGGUUAAGUCAAUAGCUUCCAAAAUACUAGGAGGACAUGGAUCUUUCCAUUUUCUGGUUAUCGAAAGUCUGGCAGCCAUAAGUAUAUGAACUAUCGAGCUCCUAAGAUUCGCUGAAAAGUUUUCAAUACCCAGAGAAAGCAAAGCCAGGGCGGGGUCUGGAAUGAUCCGCUUGUCAGAUAAAGCAGAUAUGAUUCCGAACACUUCCGCCCAAUAUUUCGUAAGCAUAGGGCAGCCCCAUAAAGUAUGUAGAAGGUCACCUCUGAAUCCGCAUAAUCUCCAGCACCUGUCCGACUGCUGUCCUCCAAAUUUGGAUACAACAUCUGGGGUAUAAUACCACCUCAAUGUGAAUUUAACAGAUAAUUCCCACAAUGUGGUACAACUUGAUGUUGAUUGAUUUAGCUUGCACGCGACACGCCAUUGGUCAUCCGUAUAUGUUUGACCCAAAUCCUUUUCCCAUUGAACAUGCGAGGAGGUCUUUGAGAAUCUCUGCUUUUCUUGGAGCAAAUUAUAGAAAACGGAGAUACCUUUUUUUCUGAUUUCUAGCGAAGUUAAAUAGGACCACAUUAUGGGAUGUACUUGAGUAAUGUUAACGUUCAAUUUUCUUAUACAUUUCACUAUGAGAGAAUAAUGAGUAAGGCACCAACUAGGUAUAUUGAAUUCAGAUUGAAUGACUUGGAAGGAUUUAAUCUCUCCCUUGAAGAAAAGGUUAUGUAUGUGUUUAAUACCAUAAUCACCCCAAAGAUCUAGUGGAACAUGUUUCAAAACUAGACUCAAUACAUUCAGUGGAGCAUGUAUUGUAAGAGUAGAAUCGGAGGGAUCUACAGAUUUUAGAACUUUAAGCCAUGUAGCAAUCGAUAACUGCAUUGUGGGGGGUAGAUAUGUGGGGAUUUUUAUCCCUAGCUCUGCACCAAACAGCCACAAAUUAGCAGAGCCGUGAACACAGAAGGAGGUUUCAAUCCGACCCCAUGCUGUAGUGGGGUAAGGUUGAAACCAUUCCUUUAGCUGGGACAGUAUAGACGCCUGAAAGUAAUCACGAAAAUCGACAUAGCCCACCCCUCCCCACUUUCUAUGUUUAAUCAGUUUGUAGUGGGCGCACCUCGACUUCUUUCCAUUCCAAAUGUAUUUGGAGAGGAUUGAUUGUAAAGAUUUGAAGAAGUGAACCGGGAUAGGUAUGGGUAAACACCUGAACAAGUACAAUAUUUGAGGUAGAUGCAACAUUUUGAAUGCCGAUAGUCUGCCCCACCAAGACAAUUCAUGUUUACCUAAUUUAGAUAGGUCAAUUUGCAGUUUCUUUUUAAGAGGAAUAUAGUUUUGCGUGAACAGAGAUCUAGUAGAACGGGUAAGAAGUAUCCCUAGGUAUGGAAUACUAGUUUCUACCCAUGAAUAUGGGAACUGAAGCUGGAGCAGGCUGUUGGACACAGCGUCAAUACCUAUAUCCAUGGCAUAGGACUUGUUUUCAUUAACUUUGUAAAAUGAAAUUUUACCAAACCAGUCCAAAAUCCUUUGAACUUCUAGAAGAGAAGAAAAUGGGGAAGAGAGCAUUAAAAUAAUAUCGUCUGCAAAUAAACUAAUUUUAUGAGUGCUGUCGCCUAUGGAUAUACCUGAAAUCUUCGGAUUGGAUCUAAUGUGUUCAGCUAAAGGUUCUAUUAAUAAAUUAAAUAUCAAAGGGGAUAAUGGGCAGCCUUGCCUGGUGCCAUUGGUGAUAUGGAAUGGUUUAGACAGCAUGCUAGAGCUGAAAACUCGCGCAAUAGGAUUAGAAUACAGGGCUAGAAUUGCUCUGAGAAUAAAGCCCUCAAAACCAAAUUCCUGCAAAGUGAGUAAUAGAUAGGUCCAAUUUAUCCUGUCAAACGCCUUCUCCGCAUCCAAUGAUAGGAGCAGAGAAGGCGUUCCGGUAGCGUUGAUAUUGUGGAUAAUGUCAAUCAACCUUCUGGUCACGUCGGAAGACUGUCUACCUCUAGUGAAACCAGUUUGGUCUAGAUUAAUUAAAUUGGGGAGGAUGUCUACAAUUCUAUUGGCAAGCAUUUUAGCAUAGAUUUUCAAAUCUACGUUUAGUUGAGAAAUGGGGCGGAAGUUUUGUGGGGAAAUUGGGUCUUUACCCGGUUUAGGCAGGGUAACAAUAAGAGCAGACAGCAUUUCCUUUGGGAAUGUAGAAACAGAUGCAGAAUGAUUAUACACAUCUCGUAGAUGUGGUAGAAGUACUUGUUUAAAUGUUUUAAAAUAUUCAAUGGAGUAACCAUCCGGACCCGGUGCCUUCGCCCUAGGUAAAGAAUCAAUGGUAGAGAGAAUCUCAAGACUAUUAAAGGGGCAAUUUAAAAGUGUAAGCUGGUUUAUCGUUAAUUUGGGUAAUUUAACAUGAGAUAGGAACGUUUGAAUCUCAUCGGUGGAGGGUUGAUGAAUAUUAAUAUCACUGGAGAGAUUAUAUAAACCACUGUAGUAGGAACUGAAUGAAUCAGCAAUAAGUUGGGGGUUAAUAAUUUUAUCUUUCGAGAUUGGGUCAUAAAGAUGAGAAAUCUUCGUCUUUAGUCUAUGGCCCUUAACUCUAUUAGCCAAGAGUUUACCUGCCUUGUUAUUGGCGACAUAGGAACGUGCCUUCAACUUUCUGAGAUUAGAAUCAUACGAUUCCAUUAGUACAGAUCUUAGUUCAUUUCUAAGUGCAUAUAUCUUGGAUUUAAGAAAGGUAGAGGGUUUAGAUUUGUUUUCAGAGUCAGCAUCUGCUAGUUUUUUGGUGAGUUCAUCAAUUUUAGAUCCUCUCAUCUUUUUUACCCGUGAUCCAAGUUGAAUGAAUAGACCACGAACGAAGGCCUUAUGAGUAUUCCAUACUACUACAGGAUCGGAUACGGAACCUUUGUUGUCCGAGAAGAAUUCGGUCAAUUUUUGAGAUAUAUAUUGUAUAUUAUCGGGAUGUUGUAAUAAAUAAUUAUUAACGCGCCAUAAAUAAGAUUUGUUUUUAGAAUUAACAUUCUUUAGCUUAAUGCUGAUCAGUGCAUGAUCCGACCACGUAGCAGUAUGUAUGUGAGACUCUAAAACAUUUUGAAGUAACCAUUUGUCGGAAAUGAAUAGAUCAAUACGAGAGUAUGUGUUGUGGCGCGGGGAGUGGAAAGUGUAGUCUCUCUCAGACGCAUGGCAGCAUCUCCAGAUGUCAUAUAACUCAUUUUCUGCCAUAAAGGCAGCAAGAGGGGAAGCAAACCUUUUAACAUUUGAGGAGGAAUAAACGUGUAUAUCAGGUACUAAGUUGAAGUCGCCACAAAUCAAAAGAUUACCUUUCUGCAUGUCUAUAAUUUUGUUCAUAGUUGCCUUGUGGAAUUUCAUUUGGCCAAAAUUAGGUGCAUAUAAGUUGACUAUCGUAUAUAAUACAUUAUCCAGCGUACAAACCAAGACAAUAAACCUGCCUUCAGGAUCAGCAUAUUCAUUUAGAAGAUUGAAAGCCAAUGUAUCUCGAACAGCAAUUAACACACCUCUCUGCGAGUAUAGUCUGCCUUGAAAAUAUGAGGAUAAGAGUUAUGGCGACAUUGAGGAGCAUUAUCUUUGACAAAAUGCUUUUCUUGUAAGCAAAGAACAUCGCAGUUGGAAGACAGCGCAGUCUUCCACACUGAGGCCCUCUUAGCCGGGUGAUUUAAACCAUUAGUAUUUAUAGAGAGAAAAUUGAUAGACAUUUUGUAGCGGUGGGUAUGUGUAAUGUGAGUGAUACUUACAGAAAGGGAUUACCUCUAGGCGAUAUGGAUCAGUGAAAAUUGAAAGAUGUCCAGAAGUAUGCACUGUCAGGGAACACGGAAUCAACCAGUCGUUCUGUGACAGCUGCAAAUAAAAACUAAAACAGAAACAAAAUCAAAACAAGAAACAAAAUAACAAAAUAAAACAAAACAAAUUAAACCCAAAACAAACAAAACAAAAUAGCCAAAAUAUUUGGAAUGGCAACAAAUCAAAAUAGUGAGAUUGCUAGCAUAUGUAUAUGAAACAAAUCGCUAUUAUGUGUACUAGGGAUAUGAACCUGGUACAAGCAAUGCAA
This is a long non-coding RNA of Rana temporaria (common frog), 8403 nucleotides long. RefSeq lists it as uncharacterized. The transcript has 2 exons. Lineage: Eukaryota; Metazoa; Chordata; Amphibia; Anura; Ranidae. The record is from RefSeq and is a predicted model, not a curated record.